GUGAAAGAGAAGACCUUAUAAAACUUCAUCUGCCUAGUGUGAGCCAGGAGACCCUGAAGCAUAGUGGGAUUGGACGAGCAGUGAUGUAUCUCUAUAAACACCCCAAGGAAUCAAGGUCCAACAAGGACAUGGCAGGGAAAUUAAUCAAUGAGUGGUCUAGGCCUAUAUUUGGUCUUACCUCAAACUACAAAGGAAUGACAAGAGAAGAAAGGGAGCAGAGAGAUCUAGAACAGAUGCCUCAACGACGAAGAAUGAACAGGUAUGAGGGAACAGCACUGGUGGUCAGACACCCAGAAGAGACCUGGAAAAGGUGCUGACAGGAGAGGAGAAGGCUCUUAGACCUGGAGAUCCUGGAUUCUGUGCCCGUGCAAGGGUCCCAAUGCCUUCAAACAAGGACUAUGUUGUCAGGCCCAAAUGGAAUGUGGAAAUGGAGUCAUCCAGGUUUCAGGCGACCUCCAAGAAGGGUAUCAGUCGACUGGAUAAACAGAUGAGAAAGUUCACAGAUAUAAGGAAAAAAAGCAGAUCUGCACACGCAGUGAAAAUCAGCAUUGAGGGCAACAAAAUGCCAUUGUGACCUUGCCUGGAAUGUGUCCCCAUCUCUACUCUAAGAAAUGCGCAAUGGACUCUUUGGAGAAAGAAGAUAUUUUAAAACAUUUUUAGUGUGUCUAUAAAUGGUUCAGCGUGUAUCAGAUGUUGUCAUAGGACUCACAUUUCUCUCAGUUAUAUUUAAAACCGUUGUGCACUUUGUACAAAGGAAU
RNAcentral lists this long non-coding RNA (758 nucleotides) under Pan troglodytes (chimpanzee). RNAcentral's name for it is "long non-coding RNA NONPTRT011033". The record is from RNAcentral. Lineage: Eukaryota; Metazoa; Chordata; Mammalia; Primates; Hominidae.